CAUACGGCUCAGUAACGCGUAGUCAACCUACCCUAUGGACGGAAAUAACCUCGGGAAACUGAGAAUAAUAUCCGAUAGAACAUUAUGCCUGGAAUGGUUUAUGUUCCAAAUGAUUUAUCGCCGUAGGAUGGGACUGCGGCCUAUCAGUUUGUUGGUGAGGUAAUGGCCCACCAAGACUAUUACAGGUACGGGCUCUGAGAGGAGUAGCCCGGAGAUGGGUACUGAGACACGGACCCAGGCUCUAUGGGGCGCAGCAGGCGAGAAAACUUUGCAAUGUGCGAAAGCACGACAAGGUUAAUCCGAGUGAUUUCUGCUAAAGAAAUCUUUUGUUAGUCCUAGAAACACUAACGAAUAAGGGGUGGGCAAGUUCUGGUGUCAGCCGCCGCGGUAAAACCAGCACCUCAAGUGGUCAGGAUGACUAUUGGGCCUAAAGCAUCCGUAGCCGGCUCUGUAAGUCCUCGGUUAAAUCUGUACGCUUAACGUACAGGCUGCCGGGAAUACUGCAUAGCUAGGGAGUGGGAGAGGUAGACGGUACUCGGUAGGAAGGGGUAAAAUCCUUUGAUCUAUUGAUGACCACCUGUGGCGAAGGCGGUCUACCAGAACACGUCCGACGGUGAGGGAUGAAAGCUGGGGGAGCAAACCGGAUUAGAUACCCGGGUAGUCCCAGCUGUAAACUAUGCAAACUCAGUGAUGCAUUGGCUUGUGGCCAAUGCAGUGCUGCAGGGAAGCCGUUAAGUUUGCCGCCUGGGAAGUACGUACGCAAGUAUGAAACUUAAAGGAAUUGGCGGGGGAGCACCACAGGGGGUGAAGCCUGCGGUUCAAUUGGACUCAACGCCGGGAAGGGC
Molecule: ribosomal RNA, 845 nt
Filed under: uncultured archaeon
Lineage: Archaea
Description: bacterial SSU rRNA
Rfam family: Archaeal small subunit ribosomal RNA
Source: RNAcentral